GAACGCUGGCGGCGUGCCUAAUACAUGCAAGUCGAACGGCUUUUCUAUGGAAGCUUGCUUCCACUGAGAAGAUAGUGGCGAACGGGUGAGUAACACGUGGGUAACCUGCCCAUAAGAGGGGGAUAACAUCCGGAAACGGGUGCUAAUACCGCAUAGUUUUCUUGAUCGCAUGAUUGAGAAAGGAAAGACGGCCUUUGUGCUGUCGCUUAUGGAUGGACCCGCGGCGUAUUAGUUAGUUGGUGAGGUAAUGGCUCACCAAGACGAUGAUACGUAGCCGACCUGAGAGGGUGAUCGGCCACAUUGGGACUGAGACACGGCCCAAACUCCUACGGGAGGCAGCAGUAGGGAAUCUUCCGCAAUGGACGAAAGUCUGACGGAGCAACGCCGCGUGAGUGAAGAAAAGGUUUUCGGAUCGUAAAACUCUGUUGUCAGAGAAGAACAAGUUGGAGAGUAACUGCUCCAGCCUUGACGGUAUCUGACCAGAAAGCCACGGCUAACUACGUGCCAGCCGCGGC
This 515-nucleotide ribosomal RNA is filed under the name uncultured bacterium. Its description in RNAcentral is "bacterial SSU rRNA". It matches the Rfam family "Bacterial small subunit ribosomal RNA", at positions 31 to 518 of the family's 1533-position model. The record is from RNAcentral.